RNAcentral lists this ribosomal RNA (382 nucleotides) under uncultured eukaryote. RNAcentral's name for it is "SSU rRNA". It matches the Rfam family "Eukaryotic small subunit ribosomal RNA", at positions 587 to 972 of the family's 1831-position model. The record is from RNAcentral.
AGCUCCAAUAGCGUAUAUUAAAGUUGUUGCGGUUAAAAAGCUCGUAGUUGGAUUUCUGCCGAGGACGACCGGUCCGCCCUCUGGGUGAGUAUCUGGCUCGGCCUGGGCAUCUUCUUGGAGAACGUAGCUGCACUUGACUGUGUGGUGCGGUAUCCAGGACUUUUACUUUGAGGAAAUCAGAGUGUUUCAAGCAGGCAUACGCCUUGAAUACAUUAGCAUGGAAUAAUAAGAUAGGACCUCGGUUCUAUUUUGUUGGUUUUCGGAAAUCGACUUAAUGAUUAAUAGGGACAGUCGGGGGCAUUUGUAUUCAAACGACAGAGGUGAAAUUCUUGGACCGUUUGAAGACAAACUACUGCGAAAGCAUUUGCCAAGAAUGUUUUCA